AUUGAACGCUGGCGGCAUGCCUUACACAUGCAAGUCGAACGGCAGCGGACCUUCGGGUGCCGGCGAGUGGCGAACGGGUGAGUAAUGCAUCGGAACGUGCCAUUGAGUGGGGGAUAACGUAGCGAAAGUCACGCUAAUACCGCAUAUUCUGUGAGCAGGAAAGCAGGGGACCGCAAGGCCUUGCGCUCUUUGAGCGGCCGAUGUCAGAUUAGCUAGUUGGUGAGGUAAAGGCUUACCAAGGCGACGAUCUGUAGCGGGUCUGAGAGGAUGAUCCGCCACACUGGAACUGAGACACGGUCCAGACUCCUACGGGAGGCAGCAGUGGGGAAUUUUGGACAAUGGGGGCAACCCUGAUCCAGCCAUGCCGCGUGCGGGAAGAAGGCCUCGGUUGUAACGCUUUGUUCAGGAGAAACGACUUGAGCUAAUACCUCGACGGUAAUGACGGUACCGUAGAAGAAUAAGACACCGGCUAACCUACGU
RNAcentral lists this ribosomal RNA (480 nucleotides) under uncultured bacterium. RNAcentral's name for it is "bacterial SSU rRNA". It matches the Rfam family "Bacterial small subunit ribosomal RNA", at positions 30 to 506 of the family's 1533-position model. The record is from RNAcentral.